GGCGCAUUCGUCUAGUGGCCUAGGACGCCGCCCUCUCACGGCGGAAACCCGGGUUCGAGUCCCGGUUGCGCUA
This 73-nucleotide transfer RNA is filed under the name Candidatus Enterocola intestinipullorum. Its description in RNAcentral is "tRNA-Glu". It matches the Rfam family "tRNA". From Rfam's summary of the family: Transfer RNA (tRNA) molecules are approximately 80 nucleotides in length. Their secondary structure includes four short double-helical elements and three loops (D, anti-codon, and T loops). Further hydrogen bonds mediate the characteristic L-shaped molecular structure. tRNAs have two regions of fundamental functional importance: the anti-codon, which is responsible for specific mRNA codon recognition, and the 3' end, to which the tRNAs corresponding amino acid is attached (by aminoacyl-tRNA synthetases). tRNAs cope with the degeneracy of the genetic code in two manners: having more than one tRNA (with a specific anti-codon) for a particular amino acid; and 'wobble' base-pairing, i.e. permitting non-standard base-pairing at the 3rd anti-codon position. The record is from RNAcentral. Lineage: Bacteria; Pseudomonadati; Bacteroidota; Bacteroidia; Bacteroidales.